RNAcentral lists this long non-coding RNA (210 nucleotides) under Panax ginseng (ginseng). RNAcentral's name for it is "long non-coding RNA (PGIN_LNC003933)". The record is from RNAcentral. Lineage: Eukaryota; Viridiplantae; Streptophyta; Magnoliopsida; Apiales; Araliaceae.
AAAGAUGAAUGAUUUCUGAUGAAUAUCUUUGGCCUGUAGUGCAAAGAUGAUUGAUUUCUGAUGAAUAUCUUUGGCCCGUAGUGCAAAGAUGAACAAGUGUGUAGAUGAACAUGACCAAUUGGUGGAUGUCCUUGGCCUGUAGUGCAAGGAUGAAUAUAUGAUUCUAGAUAUAUAUUGAUUGAUGUUACAGGGAUAAAAAUAUUGAUGAUG